This is a non-coding RNA of Oryctolagus cuniculus (rabbit), 829 nucleotides long. The record is from RefSeq and is a predicted model, not a curated record. NCBI's taxonomy places the organism in Eukaryota, Metazoa, Chordata, Mammalia, Lagomorpha, Leporidae.
CUUAUCUGAGCCUAAGAGAAAAUUUCAGACAUAGGUAGGGAUGAGGAUGGGGAGAGUCGGACUAGCAGCCAGGUCCUAGCCCAUUUCCUUGCCUAUCUGAGGGCCAGGCUGACAAUCCAGCUGCAGAUGCACCCCCCCACACACACACACACCAGCCAUCAACCCAGCCCCCCACAAUCCGCUGGUCUCCAAGCAACAGCACAAAGAGAAAGUGGAGAGAGGGGCGCAGGAGGCCCAGGCAGAGCUGGCUGUAACCCAAUCCAACCUAGUACCUGGGGGGGUGGGAGGGGAGCUGUCCCAGAAAGUGGCAGAGGGGAGAGAAAGAACCGAGGGCUAAGCUAGAACAGCUCUGGCCAAUCCGGGAGUUACCGAGGAAAGAUGGGUAUCACCGGCCCCAGAGAAAAUGGAGAGGCACAGAGGAAAAUAUGGGGGCGACAUCCAUGAAGUCCUGCUCCGACUCAGAACCAGCCAGGAUUUGAUGGGGAGAGGCCCAGAAUACAGCUGUCCCAGUCCUCAUCUUGACCCCUCCUUGGACCAAGGACCCUUUAGGAAUCUGAAAAAAACACUUUCAACCCCUAUUCACACCAACAGAUACACAGUCUCUUGGAAUUUACCUGGGUUCUCAGGCCAGGCUCACUGUUGAGGGCAGGGGCAACAUGGACCCCACCUGGCCAGGGAGGGCCGGGCAGUGCCCCAUGGUGGCCACACUGCUCUUCCUCUUCCUGCGCCCCCCCCUGCAGCUCUGCUCUCCAGGUACCCGUCGUCUCCCCUCAUAAAGACCACAGUAACACUACUCAGACACAACAAUGCACUGUGAUUCAGACUUUAA